GAUGAACGCUGGCGGCGUGCCUAAUACAUGCAAGUCGAGCGAACAGACGAGGAGCUUGCUCCUCUGACGUUAGCGGCGGACGGGUGAGUAACACGUGGAUAACCUACCUAUAAGACUGGGAUAACUUCGGGAAGCCGGAGCUAAUACCGGAUAAUAUAUUGAACCGCAUGGUUCAAUAGUGAAAGACGGUUUUGCUGUCACUUAUACAUGGAUCCGCGCCGCAUUAGCUAGUUGGUUAGGUAACGGCUUACCAAGGCAACGAUGCGUAGCCGACCUGAGAGGGUGAUCGGCCACACUGGAACUGAGACACGGUCCAGACUCCUACGGGAGGCAGCAGUAGGGAAUCUUGCGCAAUGGGCGAAAGCUUGACGGAGCAACGCCGCGUGAGUGAUGAAGGUCUUCGGAUCGUAAAGCUCUGUUAUUAGGGAAGAACAAAUGUGUAAGUAACUAUGCACGGCUUGACGGUACCUAAUCAGAAAGCCACGGCUAACUACGUG
RNAcentral lists this ribosomal RNA (497 nucleotides) under uncultured bacterium. RNAcentral describes it as "partial 16S ribosomal RNA". It matches the Rfam family "Bacterial small subunit ribosomal RNA", at positions 28 to 507 of the family's 1533-position model. The record is from RNAcentral.